RNAcentral lists this transfer RNA (88 nucleotides) under Quadrisphaera sp. INWT6. Its description in RNAcentral is "tRNA-Ser". It matches the Rfam family "tRNA". Rfam says of the family: Transfer RNA (tRNA) molecules are approximately 80 nucleotides in length. Lineage: Bacteria; Bacillati; Actinomycetota; Actinomycetes; Kineosporiales; Kineosporiaceae. RNAcentral also lists the same sequence under 1 other name. The record is from RNAcentral.
GGAGGGCUGCCGGAGCGGCCGAACGGGGCAGUCUUGAAAACUGCUGACUGGUCCUGCCAGUCCGUGGGUUCGAAUCCCACGCCCUCCG